AAUAGAUACCCAGGUAGUCCACCCCGUAAACGUUGGGAACUAGUUGUGGGGUCCUUUCCACGGAUUCCGUGACGCAGCUAACGCAUUAAGUUCCCCGCCUGGGGAGUACGGCCGCAAGGCUAAAACUCAAAGGAAUUGACGGGGACCCGCACAAGCGGCGGAGCAUGCGGAUUAAUUCGAUGCAACGCGAAGAACCUUACCAAGGCUUGACAUACACCAGAACACCCUAGAAAUAGGGGACUCUUUGGACACUGGUGAACAGGUGGUGCAUGGUUGUCGUCAGCUCGUGUCGUGAGAUGUUGGGUUAAGUCCCGCAACGAGCGCAACCCUCGUUCUAUGUUGCCAGCACGUAAUGGUGGGAACUCAUGGGAUACUGCCGGGGUCAACUCGGAGGAAGGUGGGGAUGACGUCAAAUCAUCAUGCCCCUUAUGUCUUGGGCUUCACGCAUGCUACAAUGGCCGGUACAAAGGGCUGCAAUACCGUGAGGUGGAGCGAAUCCCUUAAAGCCGGUCUCAGUUCGGAUCGGGGUCUGCAACUCGA
This 540-nucleotide ribosomal RNA is filed under the name uncultured bacterium. RNAcentral's name for it is "bacterial SSU rRNA". It matches the Rfam family "Bacterial small subunit ribosomal RNA", at positions 777 to 1315 of the family's 1533-position model. The record is from RNAcentral.